UACGUAGGGUGCGAGCGUUAAUCGGAAUUACUGGGCGUAAAGCGUGCGCAGGCGGCGCGUUAAGACAGGUGUGAAAGCCCCGAGCUUAACUUGGGAAUUGCGCUUGUGACUGGCGUGCUGGAGUGUGGCAGAGGGAGGUGGAAUUCCACGUAUAGCAGUGAAAUGCGUAGAGAUGUGGAGGAACACCGAUGGCGAAGGCAGCCUCCUGGGCCAGCACUGACGCUCAUGCACGAAAGCGUGGGGAGCAAACAGG
Molecule: ribosomal RNA, 253 nt
Filed under: uncultured bacterium
Lineage: Bacteria
Description: partial 16S ribosomal RNA
Rfam family: Bacterial small subunit ribosomal RNA
Source: RNAcentral